Molecule: ribosomal RNA, 1470 nt
Filed under: metagenome
Description: bacterial SSU rRNA
Rfam family: Bacterial small subunit ribosomal RNA
Source: RNAcentral
AGAGUUUGAUCCUGGCUCAGGACGAACGCUGGCGGCACGCUUAACACAUGCAAGUCGAACGAGAGAAGAGGAGCUUGCUUUUCUGAUCUAGUGGCGGACGGGUGAGUAACACGUGAGCAAUCUGCCUUUCAGAGGGGGAUACCGAUUGGAAACGAUCGUUAAUACCGCAUAACAUAAUUGAACCGCAUGAUUUGAUUAUCAAAGAUUUAUCGCUGAAAGAUGAGCUCGCGUCUGAUUAGCUAGUUGGUAAGGUAACGGCUUACCAAGGCGACGAUCAGUAGCCGGACUGAGAGGUUGAUCGGCCACAUUGGGACUGAGACACGGCCCAGACUCCUACGGGAGGCAGCAGUGGGGAAUAUUGCACAAUGGAGGAAACUCUGAUGCAGCGAUGCCGCGUGAGGGAAGAAGGUUUUAGGAUUGUAAACCUCUGUCUUCAGGGACGAAAAAAGACGGUACCUGAGGAGGAAGCUCCGGCUAACUACGUGCCAGCAGCCGCGGUAAUACGUGGGGAGCGAGCGUUGUCCGGAAUUACUGGGUGUAAAGGGAGCGUAGGCGGGAUCGCAAGUCAGAUGUGAAAACUAUGGGCUUAACCCAUAAACUGCAUUUGAAACUGUGGUCCUUGAGUGAAGUAGAGGUAAGCGGAAUUCCUAGUGUAGCGGUGAGAUGCGUAGAUAUUAGGAGGAACAUCAGUGGCGAAGGCGGCUUACUGGGCUUUAACUGACGCUGAGGCUCGAAAGCGUGGGGAGCAAACAGGAUUAGAUACCCUGGUAGUCCACGCCGUAAACGAUGAUUACUAGGUGUGGGGGGACUGACCCCUUCCGUGCCGCAGCAAACGCAAUAAGUAAUCCACCUGGGGAGUACGACCGCAAGGUUGAAACUCAAAGGAAUUGACGGGGGCCCGCACAAGCAGUGGAGUAUGUGGAUUAAUUCGAAGCAACGCGAAGAACCUUACCAGGUCUUGACAUCGUAUGCAUAGCUCAGAGAUGAGUGAAAUCUCUUCGGAGACAUAUAGACAGGUGGUGCAUGGUUGUCGUCAGCUCGUGUCGUGAGAUGUUGGGUUAAGUCCCGCAACGAGCGCAACCCUUACUGUUAGUUGCUACGCAAGAGCACUCUAGCAGGACUGCCGUUGACAAAACGGAGGAAGGUGGGGAUGACGUCAAAUCAUCAUGCCCCUUAUGACCUGGGCCUCACACGUACUACAAUGGCUGUCAACAGAGGGAAGCAAAGCCGCGAGGUGGAGCGAACCCCUAAAAGCAGUCUUAGUUCGGAUUGUAGGCUGCAACCCGCCUACAUGAAGUCGGAAUUGCUAGUAAUCGCAGAUCAGCAUGCUGCGGUGAAUACGUUCCCGGGCCUUGUACACACCGCCCGUCACGCCAUGGGAGUCGGUAACACCCGAAGCCUGUAGUCUAACCGCAAGGAGGACGCAGUCGAAGGUGGGAUUGAUGACUGGGGUGAAGUCGUAACAAGGUA